AUGCUCGGCCACCUAGCGUCGAUCAUCACCAAGGAGCUGCUCAAUGGGCAGCGCCUGGUGGUGGUCCGCUUCGAGGAGAUUUGCAUGUCCGGCGGCCUCGUCCACCAGAAUAUGAAAUACCUUCGCUUCCUCUGCAAGAGGAUGAACACCAAGCCCUCCCACGGCCCCAUCCACUUCCGCGCCCCGGCCAAGAUCCUUUGGCGCACCAUCCGUGGUAUGAUUCCGCACAAGACCGCGAGGGGAGAGGCCGUGCUCGCCAAGCUCAAGGCGUACGAGGGCGUGCCGCUGCCGUACGACAGGACCAAGCGCAUGGUCAUCCCCGACGCGCUCAAGGUUCUAAGGCUGCAACCUAGGCACAAGCACUGCCUCCUCGGCCAGCUCUCCAAGGAGGUCGGAUGGAACUACGCCGACACCAUCAGGGUCUGGAGACCAACCAGGACAAGAGCAAGUGCUAGAAGCAGUUCGACGACUACAAGGAGUGCCAAAAGAGAGAGGUUUGCUUUUGUUUCCCCGAAUCCUCUCUAG
Molecule: ribosomal RNA, 525 nt
Filed under: Triticum aestivum (bread wheat)
Lineage: Eukaryota; Viridiplantae; Streptophyta; Magnoliopsida; Poales; Poaceae
Description: partial small subunit ribosomal RNA
Source: RNAcentral